This 569-nucleotide small RNA is filed under the name Oryza sativa Japonica Group (Japanese rice). RNAcentral describes it as "sRNA Os12g0541600". Lineage: Eukaryota; Viridiplantae; Streptophyta; Magnoliopsida; Poales; Poaceae. The record is from RNAcentral.
CUUCUCCCCGAGCUGCUGUUUUGGAUUAAUGGGUUCUAGCUCUUUUAACAGCGAUAAGAAGGCAUGCAGAUUCUUGAAUCGCACUGGAUGUAGAAGCUCCUGUAACUCACAUGAGCAUGUAGUGAAAGAUUUGAUCUCUGCUUGGAAAAAUUAAUACAGCGUGUUUGUAGCCUGUAAAUCUUAGGGAUACUGCUGAGCCUCUGUAAAUUAUAUGGCAUUGUACCAUUUAUUGUCGGUACCCACAUUCAGAAUCAAGACUGGGUCUGGUUUUGAGCAACAGAGCAGUCACACAGAGCAGAAAUCAGUUUUCUUAGAAGAUGUUUGUCAGGUUCACCAUUUACACAUGUAAUCUGGAGCAUGUUGGAGUAUAUCAUGUUCAGGUGCCUUUUAAGUUAACAUAAUGUAGUCUAUGCACUUACCUCUGGUAAGAAAUGUCACUUGGAUCAAUGUUUCUGUAUGCAAACCAAUGUAAAAUUUGAUAGUGAUGGAUUCAGUAAGAACUCUGAUGUCAAACACAACCAGAUACAGUUUUGAUUUGCCGUAAUGUUUAUAUUGACAAUAUUGAUCUC